ACAAUAGCGUAUAUUAAAGUUGUUGCAGUUAAAAAGCUCGUAGUUGAAUUUCGGGGUUAGUAGGUUGGUCAUGCCUCUGGUAUGUACUGGUCUCACUGAUUCCUCCUUCCUGAUGAACCUUAAUCCCAUUAAUUUGGUGUUUUGGGGAAUUUGGACUGUUACUUUGAAAAACUUAGAGUGUUUAAAGCAAGCUAACGCUUGAAUACAUUAGCAUGGAAUAAUGAAAUAGGACGUUCGAUCCUAUUUUGUUGGUUUCUAGGAUUGACGUAAUGAUUAAUAGGGAUAGUUGGGGGCAUUAGUAUUCAAUUGUCAGAGGUGAAAUUCUUGGAUUUAUUGAAGGCUAACUACUGCGAAAGCAUUUGCCAAGGAUGUUUUCAUUAAUCAAGAACGAAAGUUAGGGGAUCGAAGACGAUCAGAUACCGUCGUAGUCUUAACCAUAAACUAUGCCGACUAGGGAUCGGAUGAUGUUAAUUUUUUAAUGACUCAUUCGGCGCCUUACG
This 500-nucleotide ribosomal RNA is filed under the name uncultured Glomeromycotina. RNAcentral's name for it is "partial small subunit ribosomal RNA". It matches the Rfam family "Eukaryotic small subunit ribosomal RNA", at positions 591 to 1092 of the family's 1831-position model. The record is from RNAcentral. Lineage: Eukaryota; Fungi; Glomeromycota.